AUGGCAGAGCGGGUGGUCACCAUGGCGAUCGGGCCACUGGUGUCCAUGCUGAAGGACAAGGCGUCCAGCUACCUCCUGGACCAGUACAAGGUCAUGGAGGGAAUGGAGGAGCAGCACAAGAUUCUCAAACGCAAGCUUCCGGCCAUCCUCGACGUCAUCACCGAUGUCGAGGAGCAGGCCAUGGCACAGAGAGAAGGUGCCAAAGCCUGGCUUCAGGAGCUCAGGACAGUCGCCUAUGUGGCAAAUGAAGUCUUCGACGAAUUCAAGUACGAAGCCCUACGCCGUGAAGCCAAGAAGAAUGGGCACUACAUAAAGCUCGGCUUCGAUGUAAUUAAACUCUUCCCUACUCACAACCGUGUUGCGUUCCGUUACAAAAUGGGUCGCAAGCUUUGCCUGAUUCUGCAAGCCGUUGAGGUCCUCAUAGCAGAGAUGCAGGUCUUUGGGUUCAAGUACCAACCACAGCCACCGGUGUCCAAAGAGUGGAGGCAUACAGAUUAUGUUAGCAUUGACCCACAAGAAAUUGCCAGCAGAUCCAGACACGAAGAUAAGAAGAACAUUAUUGGUAUACUAGUUGAUGAAGCUAGCAAUGCAGAUCUCACAGUUGUUCCUGUGGUUGCAAUGGGGGGCCUUGGCAAGACCACAUUAGCGCAACUCAUAUACAAUGAUCCUGAAAUUCAGAAGCAUUUCCAGUUGCUGCUCUGGGUUUGUGUCUCUGAUACCUUUGAUGUGAACUCCCUGGCCAAGAGUAUAGUUGAAGCAUCCCCCAAUAAGAAUGUUGAUACAGACAAACCACCAUUGGAUAGACUUCAAAAACUGGUCAGCGGACAGCGGUAUCUCCUUGUAUUGGAUGAUGUUUGGGACAACAAAGAGUUACGUAAGUGGGAAAGGCUGAAGGUAUGUCUCCAGCAUGGUGGCAUGGGCAGUGCAGUGUUGACAACAACUCGUGAUAAACGAGUUUCUGAAAUUAUGGGUGCAGAUAGAGCUGCCUACAAUCUCAAUGCUUUGGAGGAUCACUUCAUAAAGGAAAUUAUUGAGGCUAGAGCGUUCAGUUCAAAGAAAGAAAAGCCUAUUGAACUAGUGGAGGUAGUUGACGAGAUUGUGAAGAGAUGUUGUGGCUCUCCAUUAGCUGCAACGGCACUGGGCUCUGUACUUUGUACCAAGACCAGUGUGAAAGAAUGGAAAGCUGUAUCAUCUGGAACCAGCGUUUGCACUGAUGAAACUGGAAUUUUGCCAAUACUCAAGCUUAGCUACAACGACUUGCCCGCACACAUGAAGCAGUGCUUUGCUUUCUGUGCUGUGUUUCCCAAGGAUUACAAGAUCAAUGUGGAGAAGCUUAUCCAACUAUGGAUUGCAAACGGCUUUAUCCUAGAAUACAAGGAAGAUAGUCCCGAAACAUUUGGAAAACAUAUUUUCGAUGAGCUUGUCUCAAGGUCAUUCUUUCUGGACCUAGAGGAAAGUAAGGACUACAGCGGGUAUUAUUCCAGCACAUGUAAAAUUCAUGAUCUUAUGCAUGAUAUUGCAAUGUCUGUUAUGGAAAAGGAAUGUGUUGUUGCAACUAUGGAACCAAGUGAAAUUGAGUGGCUUCCAGAUACUGCUCGGCAUUUGUUCUUGUCAUGUGAAGAAGCAGAACGUAUUUUGAAUGAUUCUAUGCAGGAAAGAUCCCCUGCUAUUCAAACAUUGCUAUGCAAUAGUGAUGUGUUCAGCCCAUUGCAGCAUCUAUCAAAAUACAACACUUUGCAUGCCUUGAAGCUCUGUCUGGGAACAGAAUCAUUUCUACUCAAACCAAAGUAUCUGCAUCACCUGAGGUACCUUGAUCUCUCAGAAAGUUCUAUCAAAGCACUUCCUGAGGAUAUAAGUAUUCUAUAUAACCUGCAAGUGUUGGACCUUUCCUACUGUAAUUAUCUUGAUCGACUUCCAAGGCAAAUGAAGUAUAUGACUUCCCUCUGCCACCUCUACACUCAUGGAUGUCGGAACUUGAAGAGCAUGCCUCCAGGACUUGAAAAUCUCACUAAGCUGCAGACACUCACAGUUUUUGUAGCAGGAGUUCCUGGCCCUGAUUGCGCUGAUGUUGGAGAGCUGCAUGGUCUAAACAUUGGUGGUCGGCUAGAGCUAUGCCAGGUAGAGAAUGUUGAAAAAGCAGAAGCAGAAGUGGCAAACCUUGGUGGUCAGCUAGAGCUGCAGCAUUUAAACCUUGGUGAUCAGCUAGAGCUACGCCGGGUAGAGAAUGUUAAAAAAGCAGAGGCAAAAGUGGCGAAUCUUGGAAACAAGAAGGAUCUCCGUGAACUGACAUUAAGAUGGACUGAGGUUGGCGACAGCAAGGUGCUCGACAAGUUCGAACCUCAUGGUGGGCUGCAGGUUCUGAAGAUAUAUAAAUAUGGAGGGAAGUGUAUGGGUAUGUUGCAAAACAUGGUUGAGAUCCAUCUUUCUGGUUGUGAAAGAUUGCAGGUUUUGUUCAGUUGUGGUACAUCCUUCACGUUUCCAAAACUGAAGGUGCUUACACUAGAGCAUUUAUUGGAUUUUGAGAGAUGGUGGGAAAUAAAUGAGGCACAAGAAGAACAGAUAAUAUUUCCUCUGCUUGAGAAGUUGUUUAUUCGGCAUUGUGGAAAGCUGAUAGCAUUACCUGAAGCACCAUUGCUUGGAGAACCAAGUCGUGGAGGUAAUAGACUGGUAUGCACACCAUUUUCUCUGCUUGAGAACUUGUUUAUUUGGUAUUGUGGAAAGCUGGUACCAUUGCGUGAAGCACCACUGGUUCAUGAAAGUUGUAGUGGAGGUUAUAGGUUGGUACAGUCAGCAUUUCCUGCUCUAAAGGUACUUGCAUUGGAAGACUUGGGGAGUUUUCAGAAAUGGGAUGCUGCUGUCGAAGGAGAACCGAUAUUGUUUCCUCAGCUUGAGACACUAUCAGUUCAGAAAUGCCCAAAGCUAGUAGAUUUACCCGAAGCACCAAAACUCAGUGUACUAGUAAUUGAAGAUGGCAAGCAAGAGGUGUUCCAUUUUGUAGACAGGUAUUUAUCUUCAUUGACCAAUCUGACACUGAGGCUAGAACACAGAGAAACAACAUCAGAGGCUGAAUGCACUUCAAUUGUACCUGUGGACAGCAAAGAGAAAUGGAACCAGAAAUCCCCUCUUACAGUUCUGGAGUUAGGAUGCUGCAACUCAUUCUUUGGACCAGGUGCACUAGAGCCGUGGGACUAUUUUGUACACCUUGAAAAGUUGGAAAUUGAUAGAUGUGAUGUGCUCGUCCACUGGCCAGAGAAUGUGUUCCAAAGCUUGGUAUCCUUGAGGACAUUACUGAUUAGAAACUGCAAAAAUCUGACUGGAUAUGCACAAGCUCCUCUUGAGCCGUUGGCGUCUGAAAGGAGUCAGCACCCGAGAGGUCUGGAGUCUCUUUGCUUAAGAAACUGCCCAAGUUUAGUAGAGAUGUUCAACGUCCCGGCAUCUCUCAAGAAAAUGACUAUUGGUGGGUGCAUUAAGCUUGAGUCCAUAUUCGGCAAGCAACAGGGCAUGGCAGAGUUAGUCCAAGUAUCUUCUAGCAGUGAGGCAAUCAUGCCUGCAACUGUAUCAGAGUUGCCAUCCACACCCAUGAAUCACUUUUGUCCAUGCCUAGAAGAUCUAUGCUUAUCAGCAUGUGGAAGCUUACCAGCGGUUCUAAAUCUGCCUCCAUCCUUAAAGACCUUAGAAAUGGAUCGUUGUAGUAGUAUUCAAGUCCUAUCAUGCCAGCUGGGUGGGCUCCAGAAACCAGAAGCCACUACCUCCAGAAGCAGAAGUCCUAUCAUGCCACAGCCACUAGCAGCAGCAACAGCACCAGCUGCAAGAGAGCAUUUACUUCCUCCCCAUCUCGAAUAUCUAACAAUACUGAACUGUGCUGGCAUGUUGGGUGGGACUCUCCGUCUGCCUGCACCCCUCAAGAGACUGUUCAUUAUGGGCAACAGUGGGCUGACAUCGCUGGAGUGUCUGUCGGGAGAGCACCCCCCAUCGCUGGAAUCCCUUUGGCUUGAAAGAUGCAGUACCCUGGCAUCCCUGCCGAAUGAGCCGCAAGUAUACAGGUCUCUCUGGUCUCUUGAAAUUACAGGCUGCCCUGCUAUAAAGAAGCUCCCUAGAUGCCUGCAGCAGCAACUGGGCAGCAUCAAACGCAAAUGGCUAGAUGCCCGUUAUGAAGUAACGGAAUUCAAACCAUUGAAACCGAAGACAUGGAAGGAAAUACCGAGGCUAGUCCGUGAGCGGAGGCAGGCCUGCCGGAGCUGA
This 4242-nucleotide ribosomal RNA is filed under the name Triticum aestivum (bread wheat). RNAcentral's name for it is "partial small subunit ribosomal RNA". The record is from RNAcentral. Lineage: Eukaryota; Viridiplantae; Streptophyta; Magnoliopsida; Poales; Poaceae.